UACAGAGGUCCCGAGCGUUGUUCGGAUUCAUUGGGCGUAAAGGGUGUGUAGGAGGUCAGCUAAGUCAGGUGUGAAAUCCUGCCGCUCAACGGCAGAACUGCACUUGAUACUGGUUGGCUAGAGGACUGGAGAGGAGAUCGGAAUUCUCGGUGUAGCAGUGAAAUGCGUAGAUAUCGAGAGGAACACCGGUGGCGAAGGCGGAUCUCUGGAAAGUUCCUGACUCUGAAACACGAAAGCUAGGGUAGCAAACGGG
RNAcentral lists this ribosomal RNA (253 nucleotides) under uncultured bacterium. Its description in RNAcentral is "partial 16S ribosomal RNA". It matches the Rfam family "Bacterial small subunit ribosomal RNA", at positions 524 to 776 of the family's 1533-position model. The record is from RNAcentral.